AUUAUAAGCAUUAUAUGGCAUAAUAUAUAUGAUACAUAUGAUACUUUAAAAAAGGUUUAGUCUAGUUAUAUACACAUACAAACAUACACAUUGUUUUAUGUACAUUUAGCUCGAGUUCUACUAAAUACUCACUUGAACUUACUGUUUACAGAAUUUUUGUAUAGUCUAUUUAUUAUUGCCAAGUCGUUCAGAAAGUAUAUUUAAUAAACCCGAGUGUAAAUAAUACAAAUUUAUAUUAUUGAAAUUGAAAUCAUUCAAGUUAAGGCAAAGAGUCCCAGGAACUGGCCGAGACCAUGCUACUAAAGAUUAUCCAAGUACUCACCGCAAUCCUCGAACGGCAACGAGCGCAACGAUAAUAUCUUCUUAUAUACAUUUUCUGGGUUGAGCUUUAUGACACUGGCGAUCGAUUCGUUAAUAAUCAAAAAAGCCCAGAGUAUUUUUAGGUAGUAAACAAAACAGCCGCGCAUGGCUUAAUCGAUUGUGGUACAAGAUCGUUUUGAUUAGAAUAUAUGGUACACUGUUGGACUGGGCCCGCAAAUUGAUUAAGAUAAUAACAAAGACUCACGAUAAUGCUGCGGUAGUUUAAUCAGACACGC
This is a long non-coding RNA of Drosophila mojavensis, 596 nucleotides long. RefSeq lists it as uncharacterized. Lineage: Eukaryota; Metazoa; Arthropoda; Insecta; Diptera; Drosophilidae. The record is from RefSeq and is a predicted model, not a curated record. The transcript has 2 exons.